AGCCCUUGGCAAUGGGCAAAGAGACACCUUGUUGAUGCUGGUGUUCUUAGUCAGGGGCAGAGUAGAUGGCAGUCCUUUGUUCAUCCUAGCCUGAUGCCUGGCUUGGAGGCCAAAGCUGUCUUACGCCUAGGACAUAUAA
Molecule: non-coding RNA, 139 nt
Organism: Mus musculus (house mouse)
Lineage: Eukaryota; Metazoa; Chordata; Mammalia; Rodentia; Muridae
Source: Rfam